This 618-nucleotide ribosomal RNA is filed under the name Triticum aestivum (bread wheat). Its description in RNAcentral is "partial small subunit ribosomal RNA". Lineage: Eukaryota; Viridiplantae; Streptophyta; Magnoliopsida; Poales; Poaceae. The record is from RNAcentral.
AUGAGGACUCUGUUUUCAACACACUUGGUGUCCCUAAUGGCGGCAUGGAUGUACAAAGUGGAUAGGAAUGUGCAAGCAUGUCUUCUCCCUGAAAUGUUCCUUGGCCUGACUUCCCUCCCGUUGAACUCUGCUUUUUCCAAUAUGCUUGGUGCGAUGCAAACAAGUGGCGAUGACUUCAAGAGGAAAUUGCUCAUGGACUUGAUCUCAAAUUUCUUUGCCCCCACGACAUCAUUACACCCUAACAGUAGAUGUUUUCCUAUUCUGGACCAUAUAGGCAAUGUUGCCAACAUGAACUGGUGCAAGUUCAUAGUUGGUUUCCUUCAUACUUCACUAUUUAAUAAGAUGUACAACAAAGGUUGCAGGCUUCAUCUAAUGCUCAUGUAUGUCGAUAAACUUGACAUCAGCACUGUCAAUCUUAACCCGGUUGGCGGACUACCUCCAUCACACAAGUUUUCUACAUCUGCUUGGUCUGAUGCCACAACCAAGGCUGUUCUCACUGCGGAUAAGAAGCUUGAUGGGAUCUUAUGGGCGAACACAAUGUUGACUACAACUUCUUUGGGGGCCCCAACAACUUCAGUAAAUGGAUGGAUGUUCACACGAAUGCUUCAUGCCCAUUAA